UAUGGCCACAUCACAUUGAAACACCAGUUCCCAUGCGAUUACUAAAAUUAAGCAAUGUUGAGCCUGGUCAGUAUCUGGAUGGAUGUCCGUUUAGGAAUACCAGGUGCUGUAAG
Molecule: non-coding RNA, 113 nt
Organism: Acanthosepion pharaonis
Lineage: Eukaryota; Metazoa; Mollusca; Cephalopoda; Sepiida; Sepiidae
Source: the annotation of a GenBank genome assembly